CCUACGGGCGGCAGCAGUGGGGAAUAUUGGACAAUGGGCGAAAGCCUGAUCCAGCCAUGCCGCGUGAGUGAUGAAGGCCUUAGGGUUGUAAAGCUCUUUCGUCAGGGAAGAUAAUGACGGUACCUGAAGAAGAAGCCCCGGCUAACUUCGUGCCAGCAGCCGCGGUAAUACGAAGGGGGCUAGCGUUGCUCGGAAUCACUGGGCGUAAAGCGCACGUAGGCGGCUUUCUAAGUCAGGGGUGAAAUCCUGGAGCUCAACUCCAGAACUGCCUUUGAUACUGGAAAGCUUGAGUUCGAGAGAGGUGAGUGGAACUGCGAGUGUAGAGGUGAAAUUCGUAGAUAUUCGCAAGAACACCAGUGGCGAAGGCGGCUCACUGGCUCGAUACUGACGCUGAGGUGCGAAAGCGUGGGGAGCAAACAGGAUUAGAUACCCCUGUAGUC
Molecule: ribosomal RNA, 440 nt
Filed under: uncultured bacterium
Lineage: Bacteria
Description: bacterial SSU rRNA
Rfam family: Bacterial small subunit ribosomal RNA
Source: RNAcentral